CACAGCAGAAACACCGUGCUAUGGAAAUGGGAAAAGUCUGGGAUAUGGGAUGUGGGAUGCUAAUCCUGCCCUGUCAUCGGAAGAGCACAAGU
Long non-coding RNA from Corapipo altera (White-ruffed manakin), 92 nucleotides. RefSeq lists it as uncharacterized. The transcript is spliced from 3 exons. The record is from RefSeq and is a predicted model, not a curated record. Lineage: Eukaryota; Metazoa; Chordata; Aves; Passeriformes; Pipridae.